CGGGCGCAGGAGGUCCGGGGCGGGCGAAGAGAGGGCAGAGGGCAGCGGGCGCCCGGGGCAUCUCCCUCUCGCCGGGUGCGGGGAACAACUUGGGCUUUGCUACCAGUGCCCGAGGGGGCACCAGAGGCCACAAUCAAGACUGAGGCUCUGCUGUGCUAGGUGGUGUACAAACCCACAUGAAGACAGUGUCACUGUCCCAAAGAGCUUGCAAUCUAGGACCGAGAAUUUGGCUAUAGCCUCUCCUGUAACGGAGUGAAGUGAGAAACUGGACAGAUGCCUGUGCCGCCACCACCACCACCUCCUCCCCCUCCACCACCCCCACCACCAGGACCACCUGCUUCUGGAGGGCCACUUCUGGCAAGUACAGAACCACCAAAACCGAGAAAGGAAGACCAAAAAGCUCGAAGUGCAUUGCUUGCUGAUAUUCAGCACGGGACUCGCUUAAGGAAAGUAGCACAAAUCAAUGACAGAAGUGCACCACAAAUUGAAAAAUCCAAAGGGCCAAACAGAGAUGGAAAUAGCUCAGCAAAUACCAGAAGUGCCCAGCCAUUGUUGGGUGGUCUCUUUGCUGGUGGCUUUCCUGUUCUGAGACCAGCAGGCCAAAGAGACAUGACAGCUGGCAAGGCUGGACAGCUACCUGGAGCGCAAGCACCUCUUCCCAGGCCACUGUCUCCAAUGAACAAUAACAUAAAGACAUGCAGUAACUUUUCAAAUCCACCUGAUGGUGCAAAAGCAGCAAGCCCAUGGGAGCCAGCCAGCGCUCCACGGGCAGGACCAACUCGGCCCAGCCUGCCUACCCCUCCGCUGCCACCACCUCCCUCCAGCAAACCUUCCCUCACUUUCCCAUCUCCUCCAUCUCACCCUCCACCUACAGACAGGCCUGCAAAAUGGACACCCCAGAAUGUUGUUUCACCUCCCCCACCUCAGUGUGACAAGCCUGCUAAAUUUCAAGCAUCGGCUUUCCAUCCUCCCCCUCCACCGCCUCCUCUGCCCCUAACACCACCCUAUGGACUUCCAGUCAGAAAUGAUCUAUCUAGCUCUUCUCCUUCCCCUCAGCCUGAAAUAAGGGACUAUCUGCAUCCCACUCCACCCCCACCUCCGCCUCCACUGCUUCCUACCUAUACUUCCUCCUCAACCAAGCCAUCCUUGCCACUGCUGCCCUCACCUGCCCCCUCCAGGGAUAUAAACAGCAGUGAUGUGCCACCUCCACUGCCACCCAAGUCUCCAUACUUGCUGUCCCAGUUUCAAAAGCCAAAUAUUCAGUCCAUGCCUCUCCCUCCCACCCCGCCCUUCCCUCAGCCACCUGCAGCAGUGCAGAAGAGGAGGCCAGGCAGAGUUGCAGUGUCUGGCGCUGGGAAGUUACCUCUACCUCCGCAGCCUCCAGCAAGAUCACCAACAACUGAACUUACAAGCAAGUCUCCAUAUGCCCAGGCUGGACCCUGGCCAGCACGUGAACCCUCUCCACAGCUUAGAAAUGGAAACAUGCCCGUCGUUGAUGAUUUUGAAUCUAAAUUUACUUUUCAUUCUGUGGAAGACUUCCCCCCUCCUGAUGAAUUCAAGCCAUUUCAGAGAAUAUAUCCCAGCAAGGAGCCUAGGGAUGCCCCUAAAAAUCCUCUGCUAAGAACACAUGCUGUAAACUGACCAUCUCAUUUGACCCUGGAUCAAAACAGGAGUGGCAGUCACGUUGCCUUUCCAAGCUGCCUUGCUGCUCCUUUGCCAGUAGGUGGCCAGCAAAAGCACACAACCUGGCAGCUGUAUAGUGGAGGAAUAUCAGAACUGAGAUCUGCACACUCAUACCUGUUCUGCGCAUGCAGGUACUUCUGAAUGAAUUGCUCUUGUAUAAAACAAAUGUGCAGAAGCACAUGACAGAAAAGUAACAUUUAAGUUGAAGUCAACAUGAACAUUGUUCUUUUAACAGCAAUAGAAAAAGUCUAAUGCUAUAGUAAUCGUGUUUGGCAACAGUAUUAUCACUAUUUUACAUUGUAAUGUUAGUAUGAUUUAUUGCCUAUUAUCUGUAUGUAACCUGUAUACAGCCAUGUCAUAAUUUUUAUAAGGAUUUUUUUUUUUUUAUUUAUUAAAAGUGUCUUGGCAGAAUUUGACAACAUUAAAUAGAGAUGCUUUACUGCUGUCUCAUUAAAUAGUGAGAGUGUUUGUCAAAAGCAAAACAGUGUUUAAAGGUUAAUUUGAGAUGGAUUAAGUGACAGAUGUUUCUAUAUCAAGGGUGAUUAGUACUUCUGCAAUCUUAGGUACUUACUUUAAAAGAAAGCAAGACUCCACAAACACCUCCCCUUACCCUCAUUACACAUGCUUAAUGCCCCUGUUUCCACACCUGGUUUUACAAAGCUAUACUACUUCCAAUCAUUUCUGCUGACUUCUUAAUAGUCAAGGUCCAUGGUUGUUAAAGUGAGUUGUGGAAGUUGCCUGCCAUCUACCUACAAGUUCAAAGGUGAAUGACAGAAGUUUUUAAAGUCAUGAACAGCCCACAAUUUUGCUCCAUCAAAACCAAAACUUGUUUAACCAUUUGAACUGCCUGAGUCCCUGAUUAUUUGAGUCCUUAGGAUCUCUGCAGGUUUCCUUCUCAAUGUCCAGCCUCAAUUAGCUUCACAGUGGUUACUGCAUGCCCCCUCUGUGAUAGCACAGAGGGAAGGGAACUCAGCACCUAUUCUUUUAUGUACUGUACAUUGAAACAAGAGCAUGGGUUUAAACCCCCUCAUCUGUGGUGGCAUACUGUUUGCAUAAGCAGUAAUUUAUUGCCUGGGCCACUAAAAUGAAUCUAUUUGUUGAAUCUAACAAACAGCGGGUCUCAAAUGCAGAGAAUCUUUUAAAGUGACUGCAGAUGCAUUCGAUCCCACAAGAAAGAUACAAACAAAAUUGGCUGUUUCUGUGCAGUCUGAAGUACUAUGUACAUCUUGAUGUGUCUAGAUGAGGGCAGAACUGACUUGCUGCAUGAAAUGGUAUGUAGCAGCCAAAGGACAGGGUACAAAACAGGACUCCCUCUCUGCUUAGAGGGAGAAUGAAUUGCAGAGAAGGCAGAAUGAAAACAAAGUGAAUGUGAAGUGAAGCAUUGAGCAGCAACUGUGACAUUUCAUUUUAUUAAGUGGAAGAAUUCCCUUCAGUUAGGAACAAUGUGAAAUUCCUGAUCCUGCAACUAAAUUGUGCAAGGACUACAUCAUACCCUACUGAAGUCAGUGGAGCUCUGUGUGAGAACAAAAGUCUGCAUAAACAGAAUAGUUACACUUAAUAAAUAGAUUCACUUACUUGGAAGAGAAGUUUAAAUAUGAGUGUACAAGCCUGCCCAUCCAAUAGCUGUCAUUACAGUUUGUAUUUUCUUUUCUCAGUAAAACACAAGUUUGAGAACCAAUAUAGACUAUAAAAAAUGGUUGAGGCAUUGCUAGCAAGCCUAACCUCUGACAGCAUGUGCUGAUAAAGCUCUUAUACUUUGGCUUCCAUGUCAAAUUCUGAAACAAGACAGACUGUGGCCUGAAGUUUGCUUCUAUUAUACUUACUUUUCCUUAGCAUUACUAAACAGCGCAUCUUAUAACACUGCUGCAGACAUCAUCAACAAUUUAAAAGGACUAUGAGGUAGAUGUUCUACUAGAUUUUUCUUGUUUUUGUUGUGUUUAUUUGAAUGGGGACAGUGCUCAGCAUUAGAAAAUAAAAGCUUCAUUUCCUUAAAAGCAAAUUUUAGAUGUCUCAUGCAGCAUAAAAAGGUACAAGAGUGACAACAGCACACACUGCAUUGACAUCAGUGCUCACCUCUGACCAAAUUAGGGAUAACGGAGAUGUGCCACACUGUCCAGUAGUUACACAUGCUUAGUAUCAGCUGCAAAACCAAAGUAUGAAAAAAAAAUAUAUAUAAACUUCUAGAAAAGUUUGCCAUCGUCUGGUUUCUGCUGCUAGUUAGUAGAGGUGCACUGAUAUACCGGUCCAUAUCAGAUUGGCACCAAUAAAAGGAAAAUUGACAUUAUCAGCAAUCAACUUUGUUUGGCC
Alligator sinensis (Chinese alligator) is the source of this 3990-nucleotide RNA transcript. It is a transcript of the gene named WAS/WASL interacting protein family member 3, with no coding region annotated. The record is from RefSeq and is a predicted model, not a curated record. The transcript is spliced from 11 exons. Lineage: Eukaryota; Metazoa; Chordata; Crocodylia; Alligatoridae.